Amborella trichopoda is the source of this 1461-nucleotide non-coding RNA. Lineage: Eukaryota; Viridiplantae; Streptophyta; Magnoliopsida; Amborellales; Amborellaceae. The record is from RefSeq and is a predicted model, not a curated record.
GCGGAUAAUAUACAGUGAUUUCGCCUCCCUCGAUCGCGCCGUCCAUUCAAACAAAAUAUGACGAAAAGCUUGGAUUGGCUGAAAAACCCUGCGAGCAAAUGGGUGGGAUUUGCUCAAAUGCUUCAAACCCAAAAAAAUUUCCCUUUACCCCUCAUCCCGCUUCCUCUCCUCUACUCUCUCGUUCGCUCUCUUCUCUCCUCUGCUCUGCCAAGCUAGGGUUGCAAAACCCCUCCUCUUGCAACAGACGAAACCACCAGUAGCAUCAUAUAUAUCAGAGCUCUCUACUGAAAGCACGAGCAGUUCCAAAUGCAGAAGUUUUUGGAGCAUCCAAAAUUCCAACUUCAGAAGCGGAUCCUCUACUAGCAUAUCAAGUAGUUGAUUGAGAUCGGGAUUAGGUGAAUAUGAAUAGCCCGACCCAGUGGUUUCAGUUAGUUAUAGACCCCUUACCUUCGCUAUGCUCAGGUCGAUUGCUCACUGCAUUUCCUGUCACCGUCUAUUCACAAAUACUCAAUACCCAAUUGUGCUUUCAGUUUCAGUAACAAAAUAAUGGUGGGGAGUCCAAGGCUCAAUCCUAGACGUGAGGAUAAAUUACUUGCUUUUUGCUUUUUUCUAUUAUUUCUUCUAUUUAUUCAUCAUUAUAUUAUUCAUUUUCUGAUGGGUGUUUGAGUUUUUCAGUGUUGAUAUAUCGGUAUUGUUUGCUAAUUGGCAGCACUUUCUCUCUCCGAGUUUCAUUAUUUCUUCUGUUUAUUUGUCAUGACUUGCAGUUCUUUUCUUAUUGAUGUAUGUGUUCUUCCUUGUUGAUAUUUGGGUAUGGAAUUCUGUUGCUUUCAUUGGUCAUUACAUACUGGUGUUAUUUUCUUUAAUGGGGUGUUGAUUUCUCGAUGGUAUUUAUGAAAACUGUAAAUUUCAUUUGAGAAUAGAGGAAACUUUUUUAGUUCUUGUAAAUAAAAGUUUUUAGCUCCCUUCUCUUCUUUUAUUGCUCUUUUUUUUUUUUUGAUGUAGUAGAACAAAAAUUUGGAUUGUUUUUUUUUUUCUUUUGCAGGUCGAUUGCACUUAUUUUUUUUUUGGUACCUUUGCUAAUAUUAGGAAUUAAUGCGCAAAAAAUAUUUAAAGAAAUCAUGUUUUGUAAUUUGAUGUGGUGUGGAAUGUUUGUGAUUUUGAGAUUUACCCCAAGACAUUGAGUUAUUUAUGUUGAGGGCUUUUGAAUUUGUACCAGGUGAAAAUAUGGGCAAAUGGCCUGGUUCUUCCUGCUUUUUUUGUUUUCUUGGUAGUGGCCCAGUUUUUCUUUCUUAGAGAAGUUUUAUAUGAUGAAGCGUGUUAAAUAAUUAUGGUUACUUGGUUGAUUACUAUAUGUUCUUGUUUUUUUUGUUUUAAAGUGUAUGAAUUGAAAGUUGGAGUUACCCAUUUGAGGAUUACCUUUUCAAUGCUAGUCAUUGCAUUUAAUAAACAAUGGUUCUCGUU